Saccostrea cuccullata (small rock oyster) is the source of this 1188-nucleotide RNA transcript. It is a transcript of the gene named inactive phospholipase C-like protein 1, with no coding region annotated. Lineage: Eukaryota; Metazoa; Mollusca; Bivalvia; Ostreida; Ostreidae. The record is from RefSeq and is a predicted model, not a curated record. The transcript is spliced from 4 exons.
AUUGUAAGAGAGCUGGGAUGGAGUGGCAUGAAGAUUUGGAGAAUAUUUGCCAGCAAUCAGGCCUGAAGGGCAAAAAAUUAUCAAAGGCCAUGGAAAAUUUCUCAUUGAAUAUAAGAGUAUUAAAAGGACAAGCAGAUUUAAUCAACCAAGCCAAAAAAGAAAGCCAAGAAUAUCUUAGACAAAUCACAGAAGCAGCACAAUCAAUGGGCCUUGGAAAAUUCAACGACAGCCAGACAGACAUACCAGAUGUGCUGGACAGUCCAUUAUGAUGUAGAGACGGUCAACAAAAAGUCCAAGGUCCAGGUGCCACUCACAAAGGGUGGUGCAUCUGUCGGAACUACCAAGCACUUCUCAAACAAACAACCUGGGAAAUCCACACAAAUGUGGGAAAUCAUACCACAACAGCUUCUGAUUUUUUAUUGCUGCCAAAAACUGUGUACAAAAAACAAAGGUAGUGUGUUGCUGGCCAACAUACCAAAAUGUCAGAAUCUCAUGUGAUAGUUUAUAUAGAGUCUGUGUGUUUCUGUUCAGACUGCAUUUCUUGAUUCCUAGUCAUCCCCCUUACUUACCAUGCCAAAUGCUUAUAUACUAGAUAGUGUAUUAAUAUUGUCCGAAUACUUUUUGGGGGGUUUCAUUGGUACUGUUUACUAAUUAAGUCUUGUUGAUGUUUAUGUAUAGGUGUAAAUCUUAUAGUACCAUAUAUAUACUUUUACUCAUGAAAGACAAUAUUUUAUACUCUGACAACAGGGGGAUGAUUUCUGUGUUAAUCUUAUCAGGCUCUCUAUGUGUUCUUCUGUGAUCUAGUCUAACUCUUGCCAGGUUUAUGAAUGUUCUGCUUGAUUUGUGUCUAUUACCAGUCUAUUUAGCAGGCAAUCUUUAUUGAUUUGUUUAAGGUUUUUUACUGUGUCCAAUUUAAUGACACAUCCAGAGAAACUAUGAAUAUGUUGUCCAUCCUUACAAAAAGUCAAUCAGAUUUCAAGCAAAAUCAGUUAUAUUUCCAUCAAACCCCAGAGCAGCUCUCUUGCCUAUUUUGAUUUCCCAAUACAACUUACAUAUUUUUCCAACCAAAGCAAUGGUGUCCUCUUGGGAUUUACCAACAUGGCUGUAGUUAAGAUUUACGUGUAUGUGAUCUCUUAAAAACCUUGAUACUAACCAGUUAAGUCUCAGAUUUCUUGACAAAACUAUGGA